RNAcentral lists this ribosomal RNA (688 nucleotides) under bacterium Pv91. Its description in RNAcentral is "bacterial SSU rRNA". It matches the Rfam family "Bacterial small subunit ribosomal RNA", at positions 84 to 787 of the family's 1533-position model. The record is from RNAcentral.
GGGGUACACGAGUGGCGAACGGGUGAGUAACACGUGGGUAAUCUGCCCUGCACUUCGGGAUAAGCCUGGGAAACCGGGUCUAAUACCGGAUAUGAACUCCUGCCGCAUGGUGGGGGUUGGAAAGUUUUUCGGUGCAGGAUGAGCCCGCGGCCUAUCAGCUUGUUGGUGGGGUAAUGGCCUACCAAGGCGACGACGGGUAGCCGGCCUGAGAGGGUGAUCGGCCACACUGGGACUGAGACACGGCCCAGACUCCUACGGGAGGCAGCAGUGGGGAAUAUUGCACAAUGGGCGAAAGCCUGAUGCAGCGACGCCGCGUGGGGGAUGACGGUCUUCGGAUUGUAAACCCCUUUCAGUAGGGACGAAGCGCAAGUGACGGUACCUGCAGAAGAAGCACCGGCUAACUACGUGCCAGCAGCCGCGGUAAUACGUAGGGUGCGAGCGUUGUCCGGAAUUACUGGGCGUAAAGAGCUCGUAGGCGGUUUGUCACGUCGUCUGUGAAAUCCCUCGGCUUAACCGGGGGCGUGCAGGCGAUACGGGCAGACUUGAGUACUACAGGGGAGACUGGAAUUCCUGGUGUAGCGGUGAAAUGCGCAGAUAUCAGGAGGAACACCGGUGGCGAAGGCGGGUCUCUGGGUAGUAACUGACGCUGAGGAGCGAAAGCAUGGGUAGCGAACAGGAUUAGAUACCC